CCAGAAGGCACGCCUCUGAACUCUGCUAAACCGCGCUGGGCGCUGCGAGCCCCGGGCGGGGGAGGGGGCGACCUCCGUGCUAGCUCCUCGCCCUGGGCACGUCAACCUGGGGGCGGAAGACGCAGGAAGGGCGCAGUGACCAGCGCUUUGUACGUCUGGGACUGCCGAGGGGAGAGGUCCCUAAGAAAAAGCUGAGCCUCUCUUCCAUCGCAAAGGAGGGAGGGGCUCAAUGACACAGGGGAAGGAAAUGUUUCAUAACGCAUCCACGCGGGGACAAUGAUUGCCUCCUUGAACAACGCCCCAAAUGUUGCUUCGCGCUCUUCUCGGAAAGCUCAAAUGAGGAAGCAUGGCGCAGAGAAGCCCAAGCACUUCACGCUGGAGAGAGUUUAGCACCAGCCUCUGGUCCUCACACGUUUAGGAAUCUGUGCUUUCUAAACUGUAACUUUCUUUGAUUCUAACUUUUGUCAGAGUUAAACGCUGAAUGGUCAACCCAGGAAUUACCAUGUGUUUUUAAGUAGCAGCGCAAGGUUCUUGAUUCCCACUUCUGUUUCUCCUGGCCCCCCCUUCCUCACACCCCCUGGCACGGUGGCAGCACUGUGUUUGCCCACCUCCCUUCGGUCUCUCCCGUACAGCCCUCUCACCCCCUCCCAUUUCCCCUUCGCAUUUCAUACUGACAGACACACUCGUGAGGGGUCCCACUCCUGUCCACGCCGUCCAGCCCGCCUAUGCUCAUCCUCGAAGGGAGGCACUUGCUUCUCUAUGCGUCACACGUGUCACUGCUCCAACAUCCCCACUUGUCAGUUUAGUGUCCAGAGGUGUUUUACAUUCUCCCGCCCACUCCGGUCCAGAAGCUGAUGUUAAGCUUCCUUUUAAAAAAGAAAAAGAAAAAAAAAAAGACUAUUAUUUCAUUAAGGUCGAUACUUGGGAGAAGGUUUGAGGAGAGGUGUCUUCACACGCGCACGGUCUGGACUGGGGGAUUCUGAAAGCGAGACGGCGGAGUCACCCAUCAAGCUUCCAACCUUUUGCUUAGACGAGGGCUCUGAAAACCUUCCAAGGCGACCCGCGGCUGGGGCCUCGGAGUGGCUUUGAGAUGGGGAUUUCAGAAAUGGGAGGGGGCCCUGGGGCGGAGAGCUUUAGCAGGGAACUAGGGGUACAUGGGAGUCCCUUGAACUGGGGCAUGAUGGGGAAUUCAGAA
Molecule: long non-coding RNA, 1195 nt
Organism: Pteronotus mesoamericanus
Lineage: Eukaryota; Metazoa; Chordata; Mammalia; Chiroptera; Mormoopidae
Exons: 3
Source: RefSeq, a predicted model, not a curated record